GACGAACGCUGACGGCGUGCUUAACACAUGCAAGUCGAACGGAAAGGCCCUGCUUUUGUGGGGUGCUCGAGUGGCGAACGGGUGAGUAACACGUGAGUAACCUGCCCUUGACUUUGGGAUAACUUCAGGAAACUGGGGCUAAUACCGGAUAGGAGCUCCUGCUGCAUGGUGGGGGUUGGAAAGUUUCGGCGGUUGGGGAUGGACUCGCGGCUUAUCAGCUUGUUGGUGGAGUAGUGGCUUACCAAGGCUUUGACGGGUAGCCGGCCUGAGAGGGUGACCGGCCACAUUGGGACUGAGAUACGGCCCAGACUCCUACGGGAGGCAGCAGUGGGGAAUAUUGCACAAUGGGCGGAAGCCUGAUGCAGCAACGCCGCGUGCGGGAUGACGGCCUUCGGGUUGUAAACCGCUUUCGCCUGUGACGAAGCGUGAGUGACGGUAAUGGGUAAAGAAGCACCGGCUAACUACGUG
RNAcentral lists this ribosomal RNA (468 nucleotides) under uncultured bacterium. RNAcentral's name for it is "partial 16S ribosomal RNA". It matches the Rfam family "Bacterial small subunit ribosomal RNA", at positions 28 to 507 of the family's 1533-position model. The record is from RNAcentral.